RNAcentral lists this ribosomal RNA (469 nucleotides) under uncultured organism. RNAcentral describes it as "partial 16S ribosomal RNA". It matches the Rfam family "Bacterial small subunit ribosomal RNA", at positions 332 to 797 of the family's 1533-position model. The record is from RNAcentral.
UACACUCCUGCGGGAGGCAGCAGUGAGGAAUAUUGGACAAUGGGUGGAAGCCUGAUCCAGCCAUCCCGCGUGCAGGAAGACGGCCCUAUGGGUUGUAAACUGCUUUUAUCUGGGGAUAAACCUACUUACGUGUAAGUAGCUGAAGGUACCAGAAGAAUAAGCACCGGCUAACUCCGUGCCAGCAGCCGCGGUAAUACGGAGGGUGCAAGCGUUAUCCGGAUUUAUUGGGUUUAAAGGGUCCGUAGGCGGACUGAUAAGUCAGUGGUGAAAUCCGACAGCUUAACUGUCGAACUGCCAUUGAUACUGUUAGUCUUGAGUAAGGUUGAAGUGGCUGGAAUAAGUAGUGUAGCGGUGAAAUGCAUAGAUAUUACUUAGAACACCAAUUGCGAAGGCAGGUCACUAAGUCUUAACUGACGCUGAUGGACGAAAGCGUGGGGAGCGAACAGGAUUAGAAACCCCUGUAGUCCCA